GUACUCGCUUUGGCAGCACAUAUACUAAAACUGGAAUGAUACAGAGAAGAUUAGCAUGGCCCCUGCACAAGGAUAAUAGACAAAUUGGUGAAGUGCUCCAUAUUUUU
This is a small nuclear RNA of Perognathus longimembris pacificus (Pacific pocket mouse), 107 nucleotides long. NCBI's taxonomy places the organism in Eukaryota, Metazoa, Chordata, Mammalia, Rodentia, Heteromyidae. The record is from RefSeq and is a predicted model, not a curated record.